GAGAAGGAGAUGAAGUGGGAGGUAAGGAGAAGGAGAAAAUGGGGUAUGAAGAGACAGAGCUGAGGCUAGGGUUGCCUGGUGAUGGUGAGGUUGUAAGGAAGAGAGACUUCUCCCACACUGUUGAUUUGAAGCUUAACCUAAUUUCCACCUCUCCAACUGAUGACAAGGACAAAAAUAUUGUCCCUUCUCACCUUGAUCCUGCUAAGCCUCCACCUGCCAAGUAUGUUCUUCCUUUUUCUGUAAAUGAAAUAGUAUUGUUUGGCUUUUGCUUUGUAGUUUGUAUUUGCUGGGAAAUAUAGUUAUAGGAUGAUUAGGGUUAUUACAUGAUUACAUAGAGAGAAACAAAAGAGUAUUUUCCCCCACACUAACUUUUUUAGUUAGUUAUGUGUAUAGUUUCAUUGUGAAGUUAGACAUUUUAAAUUUUCAUUUUGAAAUGAUGAGGUGUGGUGGAGUACAUAAAAGGAUAAAAACAAGGAGGACCGCAUUAAAGUUAUUAUUAUCUAUUGAGUUCUCAUGGAAUAUUAUGUAUUUAAUAGAAAUAUGGAAUUACACUAACAGUACAUUCAACUUUUGCUCAGCAAAACAACUCUUCAUUUCUAGCUAGCUUCUAUUUCUUGCAAACUAUUUAGAGUUGAAUGUUGAAAGCAUGCAGAUCCAUAUUAAACCUCCAAUCUUAUAAUUUAUAUACAAAUGAUAUAUAUAUAACAAACACUGAGGAUUACACCUCCAUCUAAUAGUAUUGAUGAUAUAUACAUAUAUAAACUCAAAACCAAAGUUUAAUUUCAUUCAAAAUAUACACGUAGAGAAGGUGACCAAUGUAUUAAGGUUUAUCUUAAUUUUUCAUUAAUUACUCAUCACAGAAAUAAAAUUUACCCUCACUAUUUUCCUAGCCCCAAUUUUGAAACUGAAUAGUGAAUAUAAACAGUUUAAUUAAUUAAAAAUCAUGUAUAUUUAAUAUAUAUUAUUAUAUAUAGGGCUCAAGUUGUGGGAUGGCCACCAGUCCGGUCAUUCCGAAAGAACAUGUUAGCGACCCAAAAGAGCAGCGGCAGCGAGGACAGUGGUGAGAAGGCCGCCUUUGUGAAGGUUAGCAUGGACGGCGCACCCUAUCUCCGGAAAGUGGACCUGAGGAUGUACAAAACUUACCA
RNAcentral lists this long non-coding RNA (1145 nucleotides) under Gossypium barbadense (sea-island cotton). RNAcentral describes it as "long non-coding RNA (GBAR_LNC010050)". The record is from RNAcentral. Lineage: Eukaryota; Viridiplantae; Streptophyta; Magnoliopsida; Malvales; Malvaceae.